Small nucleolar RNA from Gossypium raimondii (Peruvian cotton), 107 nucleotides. It matches the Rfam family "Plant small nucleolar RNA R71". Rfam says of the family: R71 is a member of the C/D box family of snoRNAs containing the C (UGAUGA) and D (CUGA) box motifs. The record is from Rfam. Lineage: Eukaryota; Viridiplantae; Streptophyta; Magnoliopsida; Malvales; Malvaceae.
AUCCCAUGAUGAGGACACUUACGAAGUAACUCCUUGAAUCACUCCCAAGUCUCAUCCAAAGAGUCAUCAUUCAAUUGUUGGAAUGUUGUGAUCUCGUUCCUUAAUAU